GGUGCAAAAUGGAUGGCGCCUGUUUUCAGGUCUUCUUAUACCAGAAACGCAGAAUGAAUAUAACUAUCGCUAAUUUAAUAUAGAGAGUGGUGGCAGCUUGACUACCGCUGGACCGUUGCACUGACCCUCUAACCUCAAUAUCAGUUAACUUACAAGAGUUACCGUUCGUGUGUUCUAACAAUCUAGAUUACUGAUAUUUUUGGUAACAAAUAAGUUAAACAAAUCUUCACGUCACCUAAAGGCAUCUUUCGGAACUUAAGUGGGCCGCCACCAUUGGGUUUCAUAAGACGCUAAAAGGAGCCUGACUCAUUCACUCGCUCAUCUUUAAACUUGCAACAACUACGGAAAUGCUGGACGUCCAUCACCGUGUUCAAUUUCUUGGUAUCGUGACGUUGUUGUUCCUGAUGGUGAUUUGCGUGAUUGUAACGCCCGCAUAUAGUCAGCAAGGAGUACGUUGACAAGUGGGAGCCUUUUGACAU
Daphnia magna is the source of this 479-nucleotide long non-coding RNA. RefSeq lists it as uncharacterized. Lineage: Eukaryota; Metazoa; Arthropoda; Branchiopoda; Diplostraca; Daphniidae. The transcript has 2 exons. The record is from RefSeq and is a predicted model, not a curated record.